UACGUAGGGUGCAAGCGUUGUCCGGAAUUAUUGGGCGUAAAGAGCUCGUAGGCGGUUCGUCGCGUCGGCUGUGAAAACCUGAGGCUCAACCUCAGGCCUGCAGUCGAUACGGGCGGACUUGAGUACUGCAGGGGAGACUGGAAUUCCUGGUGUAGCGGUGAAAUGCGCAGAUAUCAGGAGGAACACCGGUGGCGAAGGCGGGUCUCUGGGCAGUAACUGAC
This 221-nucleotide ribosomal RNA is filed under the name uncultured bacterium. Its description in RNAcentral is "partial 16S ribosomal RNA". It matches the Rfam family "Bacterial small subunit ribosomal RNA", at positions 524 to 744 of the family's 1533-position model. The record is from RNAcentral.